GUCAUCACUGGUAGCUAGAAAAAGGCAUCAUUAAAAGAUUUGCUUGUAGAGCUUCUCAUCAUUAGUAAUUUGUUUAUCUGGUGUGCUGGUCUCCUGGAGCUGCUGUUUCAGACUCUGCAGACUUUAGUGGAUGCCUGACGUAAGCACACGGACCCUGAGCUCAUCCGCUCCUCCUGACUCUCGAAGCUAAAACAAGCAAAAGUCGACCUCCAGCUUUUAUCACAGUCUUCACUAGUCUCCAGCUAAAAUUUAUAACAUACUUUAUGUGUUAUAAAGUGUUUUCAGUCCUAAGGUAGGUGGAGUGGAAAAGAUGACUGCAGUGAAAAGGUCGGGUCAACUGCGAGUGACACACAUUGCCCUCAUGAAGGUUAGUAGAAAUGAGGAAUAUUUUCUGAAUAAAUUGAGAGGAAAGAACCCACAAAAAGGAAAAUGGCUUUGUUAAACAAGGGGAAUGAAAAAAUGGUGGUGACGGUAGAAUGGCAAAAGUACAGAAUGACUUUUUUUAUUAAAGGCGUCUGAACUGAAAAUGAAAGAAAAAACUGGCUUAUUGACAAAAAGAGGGAAAAGGCUAAAGGAACAUAGGCUGAAGAAGGAAUCCAGUUUAUGCACAGCUUUGAGGAUGAGGAAUGAGCUAAUGAACCAUUCAUCGUUACAUGUAAAAUGCUGUGUGACACACCAGGGAACUGCUGUUCGUCACAAAAGAGAAAUUAUGGUACAUCUUUCAGGCUCUAAAGGUCCUGCCGGAGCCCAUUAGCUCUGUGCCAGGCUCCCUCGUGAGAGGCAGUAGGCAAACCUAUUUAAAAUCUUUUUUUUUUUUUUUCCUGUGAGAAAUUGGCCCCCUGGGACAAGGAAUUCCUGUUCCUCCUGGGCACCCUGGAGAUUUGCGAGGAAGUGUUGCGUGGCAGUGCCCUUGUGUACUUAUUUCCGGUCAUGCUUUCUUGACACAGAAGGUAGUGGGGACACUUCUGAGUCCCUCCAAAAUCUGUGUUCCUGGGGGAUAUCUGAAUGGGGUUAAAUAAAUCCAAUGCUAUGAAAAAUAGAUUCUGUAGCUCAGUUUUCUUCCUCAGCAAAAUAAUGCAACCAUUCUGAGGAGUUUUCUAUACUUUAACUUCUGUUUUUCUUAACUUCAAGAAGCUCAAAGGCCUUUCCAGAACACCGUAGCCCAUUGUUUGAAACUACUGUAUCGCGAUAAUGCACAUAAAUUAGAGAUAAGUGAUAAAGAUGGAAAGGAUGGGCUUGGGAUUGGACAAGUAUAGGUUUGAGACCAGUCUCUGUCACUUGCAGGGGCCAGUAUCUAUUUCUAAUACAACCCGUAGACCUGAGCAUCCAGGUCUUAUCCCGGCACAUUGCCCCUCCCCACCUUAGAGGGCCUUGCUCUGCCCUUUCUCUGACCUCAUCACCAUGUGACUGGGAGUCCGUGGGUCCAACAGGAUAUGGUCACUCUCCCUGAACCGGUGCCUCCUCAUAUUCUGGGUAGCUGGACCCCAGAAUUCUGGACUCAAACAGUAGGGCCUGCCUUCAUGCAAUUGUAGGACUCUUUCUCAGGUCUUUCGUCUUAGGGUUGACAAUGGGGCUAUAAUGCUGCUAUCAAGGGAAGGCAUCGGCAGAGGUGGGUGGAAAUAGAUGGAGCUAGGACAUGGUGGGGGGCUUCAGUGUCCAUAUGUAUGUGUGAGAUGCCCUUGGCAUAGAGAGAGUUGGGUGUGGGAAAGAAAGAUCCCUUCAUUUAUACUCCAGACCCCACCUACAGUUAUUAGAAGUGGGCCUGUCCAUAUAAUAAAGUUAUCAUGAUGUUUAAAUGAGCUAAUUCAUGUAAAGUACUCAGCACAGAUUUGUAGA
Long non-coding RNA from Ailuropoda melanoleuca (giant panda), 1836 nucleotides. RefSeq lists it as uncharacterized. The record is from RefSeq and is a predicted model, not a curated record. The transcript has 3 exons. NCBI's taxonomy places the organism in Eukaryota, Metazoa, Chordata, Mammalia, Carnivora, Ursidae.